ACCUGGGUGGCUUAGUUGGUUAAGCAUAUGACUUUGGCUCAGGCCAUGAUCGUACAGGUUGUGGGUUCAAGUCCCACAUCAGGCU
RNAcentral lists this transfer RNA (85 nucleotides) under Felis catus (domestic cat). It matches the Rfam family "tRNA". From Rfam's summary of the family: Transfer RNA (tRNA) molecules are approximately 80 nucleotides in length. Lineage: Eukaryota; Metazoa; Chordata; Mammalia; Carnivora; Felidae. The record is from Rfam by way of RNAcentral. RNAcentral also lists the same sequence under 2 other names.